This 203-nucleotide long non-coding RNA is filed under the name Lathyrus oleraceus (garden pea). RNAcentral describes it as "Pisum sativum (pea) long non-coding RNA (PSAT_LNC020945)". Lineage: Eukaryota; Viridiplantae; Streptophyta; Magnoliopsida; Fabales; Fabaceae. The record is from RNAcentral.
UGCCACUGGACUUAAUAAAAUCAUUUUAAUUCAUAUAACACAUUAAAUAAUUAUUUCACUAAUUUAACAAAACUUCAAAAAAUCAUAGAGGCUUCAUAAUUCAUCCAAUUUUUGUGAAAUUUCUUGUGCCAUGCUCAUGAGGAUGUGUAGAAUUUUAUGAUGAUUUUUGUGAAAUUUUUGCACGUGUGGAAAUUUAAUUGGCC